RNAcentral lists this ribosomal RNA (434 nucleotides) under uncultured bacterium. Its description in RNAcentral is "partial 16S ribosomal RNA". It matches the Rfam family "Bacterial small subunit ribosomal RNA", at positions 29 to 507 of the family's 1533-position model. The record is from RNAcentral.
AGCGAACGCUGGCGGCAGGCCUAACACAUGCCAGUCGAACGAACCUUUCGGGGUUAGUGGCGGACGGGUGAGUAACACGUGGGAACGUGCCUUUAGGUUCGGAAUAACUCAGGGAAACUUGUGCUAAUACCGAAUGUGCCCUUCGGGGGAAAGAUUUAUCGCCUUUAGAGCGGCCCGCGUCUGAUUAGCUAGUUGGUUGAGGUAAUGGCUCACCAAGGCGACGAUCAGUAGCUGGUCUGAGAGGAUGAUCAGCCACAUUGGGACUGAGACACGGCCCAAACUCCUACGGGAGGCAGCAGUGGGGAAUCUUGCGAAAUGGGCGAAAGCCUGACGCAGCCAUGCCGCGUGAAUGAUGAAGGUCUUAGGAUUGUAAAAUUCUUUCACCGGGGACGAUAAUGACGGUACCCGGAGAAGAAGCCCCGGCUAACUUCGUG